Molecule: ribosomal RNA, 203 nt
Filed under: Helotiales sp.
Lineage: Eukaryota; Fungi; Ascomycota; Leotiomycetes; Helotiales
Description: partial large subunit ribosomal RNA
Source: RNAcentral
AAGCGCUUGCAAUCAGACUUGCACUUGGUGUUCAUCAGGGUCUCGUACCCUGUGUACUUCAUCAAGUUCAGGCCAGCAUCAGUUUGAGUGGUUAGAUAAAGGCUUAGAGAAUGUGGCCCUCUUCGGGGAGUGUUAUAGCCCGCUGCGUAAUACCCUGUGGCGGACUGAGGUUCGCGCAUUCGCAAGGAUGCUGGCGUAAUGGU